This 2386-nucleotide long non-coding RNA is filed under the name Homo sapiens (human). RNAcentral's name for it is "non-protein coding lnc-RPE65-4:1". The record is from RNAcentral. Lineage: Eukaryota; Metazoa; Chordata; Mammalia; Primates; Hominidae.
GACAGGAUCCAGAGACACUCUCAGUCUUGGAAAUCCUACCAACAAGGAUUCAGGCCUCCCUGUUUCCUGAAACACAACAAUAUUAAAGUUAGGCCAAUUAAUAACCCUACAAUGGUCUCUAAGUGUCAAGCGAAAGGGAAAGUCACACAUCUCUUAGUUUAACUCAAAACUAAAAAUGAUUAAACUUAGUGAGGGAGGCACGUAGAAAGCUGAGACAGGCCAAAAGCUAGACCUCUUCUGACAAACAGCCAAUUGGGAAAGCAAAGGAAAAGCUCUUGAAGAAAAAUUAAAAGUAAAAUUAGAAGUGCUACUCAGUGAAAUCACAAGUGAUAAGAAAGCAAAGUAGUCUUAUUGCUGAUAAUGAAGAAAGUUUGAGUGAUCUGGAUAGAAGAUCAAACCAGACACAACAUUCCUUUAAGCCAAGCCUAAUCCAGAGCAAGAUCCUAGCUUUCUUCAAUUUUAUGAAGGCUGAGAGAGGUUAGGAAGCUGCGCAAGAUGCACAACUAGCAGAGGUUGCUUCGUGACGUUUAAGGAAAGAAGCCAUCUCUAUAACAUAAAAGUGCAAGGUGAAGCAGCAAGUGCUGAUGUAGAAGCUGUAGCAAGUUAUCCAGAAGAUCUGGCUAAGAUCAUUGAUGAAGGUAGCUACACUCAACAACAGAUUUUCAAUAUAGAUAAAACAGCCUCCUAUUGGAAGAAGAUGCUACUUAGGACUUUCAUAGCUAGAAAGAAGUCAAAGCCUGUCUUCGGAGCUUUGAAGGACAGCCUGGCUGACUCUCUUGUUAGGGACUAAUGCAGCUGGGGAUUUUAAGUUGAAGCCAAUGGUCAUUGACCAUUCAAAAAACUCUAAGGCCCUUAAGAAUUAUGCUCAGCCUAUUCUGCCUGUGCUCUACAAAUGGAACAACAAAGCCUGGACGAUUGCAUAUCUGUUUACAGCAUGGUUUACUGAAUAUUUUAAGUCUACUGGUGAAACCUAUUGCUCCUGAAAAAAAAGAUUCCUUUCAAAAUAUUAGUGCUCAUUGGCAAUGUACCUAAUCACCUAAGAGCUCUAAGGCAGAUGUACAAAGAGAUGAAUGUUGUUUUCAUGCCUGCUAACACAACAUCUAUUGUGCAACGAGGAGAUCAAGGAGUAAUUUUGAGUUUCAAGUCUUAUUAUUUCAGAAACACAUUUCUUAAGGCUAGAGCCAUCAUUGACAGUGAUUCAUUUGAUGGGUCUAGGCAAAGUAAAUCAAAAGCCUCUGGAAAGAGUUCAGUAUUCUAGAUGCCAUUAAGAACACUCAUGAUUCAAGGGAGGUUAAAAUAGCAAGAUUAACAGGAGUUUGGAAGAAGUUGAUUCCAACCCUCGCUGAUGACUUUGAGGGGUUUAACACUUCAUGGAGGAAGUCACUGAUGAUAUUGCAGAAGUAGCAAGAGAACUAGAAUUAGAAGUGGAACUUGAUGAUGUGACGGAAUUGCUGCAAUCUUAUGAUAAAACUUGAAUGGAUGAGGAGUUGCUUCUUAUAGAUGAGUUUUAUUAUGAUAUUUACUUUAUUGCAGUGGUCUGAAAUCAAACUCCCAAUAUCUUUGAGGUAUACUUAUAUAUAUGACAAGGCAGAAUGAGGUAGGCACUGUUACCUUCUGCUUUGUAUGAGAGUGAAAGCAUAGCCUCUUGAAGAUAGGCAAACUUGGGUUUGAAUUUUGACUGCUACUUACUGAGUAACAAUAAAUUAUCUCAUUGCUCAUUGCUGAACCUCAGUUCCCUAGUCUGUAAAGUAGCUACAUAAACUCAUAUUUUAUAGUUCUUUUGAAAAUUAGAUUGAAUAAGAGAAUAAAGUGUUUAAUGGGAGGCCUGGCAAACAUAGUGCAAUCAGUAAUGGUAGCUAUCAGUAUUAUUGUUACUACUUUUAUUACUAUCAAAGCACAGCCAGUAAAAACUAAAAAGACACAUCUUCAUUUUAAAGACUUAUUGUAUCUUUAAAAUAGAAUACUAUUUUAGACUCCCAGGUAAUUCAUGACCAAACGUUAUAACUAUAUCGCAUAAGCAGACCUGGAGACCAAUCUUAUUUACUACUACAUCUGGUCCUUUUGUCAUAAUGUGGUGGGGAGAAGGAUUCCCUACUUUAAUUUAAAUCAUUAAACCAUAUCUUUGUUUUUUACCUCCACCUUUACUUCAUAUAUAUAUUGCAGGAGGCACUACACUGAUGCAUUUAAACAGUGUAGAGUACUAGAAGAUAUCCUGACUUCUGGUCAGAAGGUCCAGCUUAACCGUGGCAUUGACCCAUGGUGUGACCAUGGGCAAGUCACACCUAUUUGGACAUCUAUUUAGUUAAAGAGGUGAACUACCUGAUCUCUAAGCAUCCUCAUAAUUUUCCUUAUAAUGACCAAAAUCACAAUUACAAGGAGAAGCCUG